RNAcentral lists this ribosomal RNA (465 nucleotides) under uncultured bacterium. Its description in RNAcentral is "bacterial SSU rRNA". It matches the Rfam family "Bacterial small subunit ribosomal RNA", at positions 28 to 524 of the family's 1533-position model. The record is from RNAcentral.
GACGAACGCUGGCGGCAUGCCUAACACAUGCAAGUCUAGGGGUAGCAAUACCACUGGCGCACGGGUGAGUAACACGUAGGUUAUCUGCCCCCAUCACAGACAUAACCCCGGGAAACCGGGGCUAAUAUCUGAUGAGGUCGCGAGAUCAAAGCUUCGGCGGAUGGGGAUGAGCCUGCGGCUGAUUAGCUAGUUGGUGAGGUAAUGGCUCACCAAGGCGACGAUCAGUAGCUGGUCUGAGAGGACGAACAGCCACACUGGAACUGAGACACGGUCCAGACUCCUACGGGAGGCAGCAGUGAGGAAUAUUGGUCAAUGGGAGCAAUCCUGAACCAGCAAUGCCGCGUGUGGGAUGACGGGGCUUCGCCUUGUAAACCACUGUCGGACGGGACGAAAGGAGGCCUCGGGCCUCUGGGACGGUACCGUCAAAGGAAGGUCGGCUAACUACGUGCCAGCAGCCGCGGUAAU